GACGUAGGGUCCAAGCGUUGUCCGGAUUUACUGGGCGUAAAGAGCGCGUAGGCGGUCUGUUAAGUGUGAAGUGAAAUCUCCAGGGCUCAACCCGGAAACUGCUUCGCAUACUGGCAGACUUGAGGGAUGCAGAGGUUUGUGGAAUUCCUGGUGUAGCGGUGAAAUGCGUUGAUAUCAGGAGGAACACCCAUGGCGAAGGCAGCAAACUGGGCAUCAUCUGACGCUGAGGCGCGAAAGCGUGGGUAGCAAACAGG
RNAcentral lists this ribosomal RNA (254 nucleotides) under uncultured bacterium. Its description in RNAcentral is "partial 16S ribosomal RNA". It matches the Rfam family "Bacterial small subunit ribosomal RNA", at positions 524 to 776 of the family's 1533-position model. The record is from RNAcentral.